RNAcentral lists this ribosomal RNA (459 nucleotides) under Staphylococcus epidermidis. RNAcentral describes it as "bacterial SSU rRNA". It matches the Rfam family "Bacterial small subunit ribosomal RNA", at positions 1 to 449 of the family's 1533-position model. The record is from RNAcentral. Lineage: Bacteria; Bacillati; Bacillota; Bacilli; Caryophanales; Staphylococcaceae.
UUUAUGGAGAGUUUGAUCCUGGCUCAGGAUGAACGCUGGCGGCGUGCCUAAUACAUGCAAGUCGAGCGAACAGACGAGGAGCUUGCUCCUCUGACGUUAGCGGCGGACGGGUGAGUAACACGUGGAUAACCUACCUAUAAGACUGGGAUAACUUCGGGAAACCGGAGCUAAUACCGGAUAAUAUAUUGAACCGCAUGGUUCAAUAGUGAAAGACGGUUUUGCUGUCACUUAUAGAUGGAUCCGCGCCGCAUUAGCUAGUUGGUAAGGUAACGGCUUACCAAGGCAACGAUGCGUAGCCGACCUGAGAGGGUGAUCGGCCACACUGGAACUGAGACACGGUCCAGACUCCUACGGGAGGCAGCAGUAGGGAAUCUUCCGCAAUGGGCGAAAGCCUGACGGAGCAACGCCGCGUGAGUGAUGAAGGUCUUCGGAUCGUAAAACUCUGUUAUUAGGGAAGAA